This 2898-nucleotide long non-coding RNA is filed under the name Medicago truncatula (barrel medic). RNAcentral's name for it is "long non-coding RNA (MTRU_LNC002946)". Lineage: Eukaryota; Viridiplantae; Streptophyta; Magnoliopsida; Fabales; Fabaceae. The record is from RNAcentral.
CCACAUUCAAAAUUCAAAAAUCAAUAAACAUGUAUAUAAACCUCAAUAGUCGCAGCGGAAUAUAAACCAGAGUAAAUCCAAGUAUACAUGUUAUGAAUCAAUAAAUUACAUCAACAUAGAUACAUCUCAAAAAUCCCAACAAACGGGUAAUCUCCAAACAUCACAAAAUCCAAAGUAAAAGAUAAUCUAGACUGACACAACAAAGCCUAGAUCAGAGCCGACUAAACAUCUAAACACCGAUAUCGGAGAAAGCUCCAGAUAUCCACCAAGCACAAGAACUCACCAAGCAACUAAACCUGCACAACGUCUACCCAUCCAUACAGAUAGGCAGGCGGUCCAUAACAGAUCCACUGGGGGUAAGUAUUACAUUAUCAUAAUCCAAAUAACAGUUAACAUGGAUAUUUCAAUUUAAACAUCAUGCACUUGAUCAAUAAUAAUUACACAUUAAUACUUACAUCACACCCCGAUAUCUCACAUAAAUAUUCAUCAAUCAUAUGAACGAUUAUCAAUUUACAAUUAUUCAUUCACAAUCACCAAUCACAUUUAUCAUGAAUAAUCAUUAAUCACAUUUCAUGAACAAUCACCAAUUACUUGUAUCAUGAAUAAUCACUAAUCACAUUUCAUGAAAAAUCACCAAUUACAUGUAUCAUGACUAAUAAUUAAUUCACAGUUAUUCAUACACAAUCACCAAUCAUAUACAUAUCAUGAACAAUCACCGAUCAUAUACAUCAUGAACAAUCACCAAUCAUAAGCCAUGAACAAUCAUUAAUCAUAUUUCAUGAACAAUCACCAUUCACAUGUAUCAGGAACAAAUAUCAAUUCACAAAUAUUCAUUCACAAUCAUCAAUCACAAACAUCAUCAAUAAUCAUUCAUCUCAUUUCAUCACCAAUCACAUAUUUCACAUAGGACUCAUGCUAUGAUAUGCACUUAUUGACACAUAAAUGCAUGUGGUACCAAAUCUCAACAAGGUCGUCACCUUUCGAUGCCACUUGCACAUCGAAUGUAAGGGCUCACACCUGCCUUACAAUAAUCUCGAAGUAAAAGAGUCAUCCCUUUUACAGCAACAACGACUAUGAUGCAUGGACAUGUAUAAGGACUCAAUAAUGCGACAACAAUUCACAAUCUCAACUCAAUAUAUAGGACAACACCCAAUUAUAUUGAUUAUCUCCACAACAUUGCAUUAUCAAGAAAACAUGCUCAUACACAAUUAAAUCAUAGUAUUCACCAUCACACUUCAACAUGAUUAUCAAUAAUCAACAAUGUCAUUCAACAUCAACUAUAUCAUAUAGUUUCACCAUUUCAAGCAUUUCUCAUAUUCCAAGUAAGAGAACAUACAACAUCUCAUGACAAACAUCAUAUCCAACAUAUAAUCAUUCAACAUCAACUAUCACAUAUAGCUCACCAAUUCAAGCAUUCUCAUAUUCCAAGUAAGAUAGCAUAUACAUCUCAUGAUAAACAUCAUAUUCAAUACAAUCAUUCAUUCAUACAACUUCACUUAGUCAUACAAGAAUAAUCUCAAUAACUCACAAGACAAUUUGCUAAAGAAACAUUUCCGACAAAAUCCAAAUCAUGUGGCAAACGGCCAACAUUGAUAAUUUUCAAAGUUAGGCAACUUAUUCAAAUUUGAAAUCCUAAAAUUCAAUCUUAAUCAAUCAUGUAGCCAAGGACUUAAGCCACUUACAAACUAUUAGAAAUUAGUUCAAAGGAUAGCUCAAGUUCGUAUGAGAAAAACCAAGACAAAACGACAUUUAGCUCAAAACUCGUUUUCACCGAUUCUACUCCGCCCAAAAUAUUUUCUUAAAACAUCAACACAUUCACAUUCCCAAAUACAUAAAUGCAUACUCAAUUAUUCACUCUAAGUACUUCAUUAAACCCAAUAUCAAGUUUGGAAAAGUUCCACGGCUCAAAGAAAAAGUUAUGAUAAGUUUUCACAAAAAUCCACAUGACCCAUGUGUAGUAAUUUAAUCAUAUCUCAAGUUCUAAAAAUCAUUUGGACGUCAAACCAAAGCCAUUAGAAAGCUAACUUAAUUAUCUACAACUUUCAUGUUUACACGAAAAACCAAUUCAACACGGAAACAGGUGAAAAAUGUGAAUGUUUUCCAGAUUUGCUUGACAGAAAAUCGGUGGCCGAUUUUGACAAAUCGGUGGCCGAUUUUCGUCGAACCAAAACUGGAAAAUAAGCUCAGAAAUCGGUGGCCGAUUUUGGCAAAUCGGUGGCCGAUUUUGGGCUUCACAAUAGUUCAAAAAUCCGCUUAACAAUGCGUUUUUCACUCAAAAAAAUCACUCUUAAAUCACUAGAUUCAAAUACAAGACUCCCAAAUUAAAUCAAACAUUACCCAUAAUCAUAACACUCGUAAAUAACACUUAUACCACUUCAAAUCAUCAAGUUCACAUCCAAAAUCAUAAUCAACCCAUUUUCACCAAGACACCAACAACAAUCCAUUUCUCAACAACAAAUCAUGAAUCAUGCAAACCCAAGCCAUAUAUCAUCAUCAACAAUAUGACUAAACAAACAACAACAACCAUUGAUCAUGAAACAUAUCACAAUUCAUCAACAACCAUGCAUAAUUCACCAAUUGAGCAUAAUUUACAAACUACCCAUUUUCAUACAUCAUGAACUUGCAAUUUCAUCAUCAACAAUUCAUUUAACAUCAAAUUAACAUAUUCAAACAUAUCUCUACAACAUAAGCACGAAUUUCAAAGAUUGGGUUCAUGAUAAUCACUUAUUCUCAUAAUCAAUUAUGCAUAGAACAAGAGAAAAAGAAUUAACUAAAUGAUUAUGAUAAAAACUAACCCCCUUACCUUUGAAGAAGAUUAACCCUAACCUCUGCUUCAAUUCAGCUCCUAGGUCACCCCACUUGAUUCCUCAAGCUUUCCCUUCAACACUCUUGUUCUUC